This 119-nucleotide ribosomal RNA is filed under the name Trichuris muris. The record is from RNAcentral. Lineage: Eukaryota; Metazoa; Nematoda; Enoplea; Trichinellida; Trichuridae.
CUCUACGAUCACACCACGUUGAAUGCACCGCAUCCUGUCAGAUCUGCGAAGUCAACCAAUGUUAGGAAGAGAAAGUACCAUGCUUGGAGACAACAUGGUAUCCCUACGAGUCACAGACA